This is a long non-coding RNA of Helianthus annuus (common sunflower), 3400 nucleotides long. RefSeq lists it as uncharacterized. Lineage: Eukaryota; Viridiplantae; Streptophyta; Magnoliopsida; Asterales; Asteraceae. The record is from RefSeq and is a predicted model, not a curated record. The transcript has 11 exons.
CCUAAUUCGGAUCAUUAUGGUUCAUUCCAUAUAUACAGCAAAUAGGGUUUCAUCUUCUUCAACACACUUCAUUCACGACCUAGGGUUUCUGCAACUUCAUUCUUUCUGCCUCUCCUUCAUCAUUGCAUCUCUCAGGAUCUCAAAUCGUCAUCAGCAAGUUAUAUUUCUGAUAUUCAAAUGUCGUCUACACCAAGAUCUAAAAAAACGGGGUGGCCGGAGAAGACGAUGAUCAAAAGGGUUCAUCCAGAUUUGAUUUUCUACGGUGGCCGGAGAACACACAACCCAGUACUUUUGUUUCCCCAUUUCUUCAUCUUCUCUCAUACGGCAGGCGAUUAGGGUUUUUUAUCUCAUAACCACACAACCCGGUCCUUUUGUUUCCCCAGGGUUCGUAUGGUCUAAGAAUGAGGAUGGUCUAACAAUGAGUAACGGGUAGGGUUCAGUGGACGGCGAUGAUCUAGCAACGAUAGAUGAGUAGUAUCAGAUCUAUCAAAGACAAGAAAGUGGUGACGAUACAUAUGUUGGUUAGAAUCGCUCAUGGUCAGGUUUACCAGUAAUCAUUUGUUUCUUUUUGUAUCUUGCCGAUGUUCAUCUAAUCAUCGCUAGCUUCUACGUCUUUAAAGAAGGGUUAAAGUUAAAAAGGAAGUUGAGCGGUGAAUCUCAAAGUUUUCAGCCGGAGGCCAAGAUGGGAGCAGCAUGACUGAUUUGGUAAAUAAUGAAAGGACGAUAAACGUGACAGAUGAAAAAAGGCUCAAAACCUGGUGAUUAUACUUCAUAUAUUCGGCUGAUUUUUAAUGGUGGUUGAAAAACUUUUUAAAGAUAGAAAAGGGUGAACACGUCCAUAUGAGAGACUAUUGUUGAGUAUAGAGACUGUUUUAUGUGCGCCUUCACAACGUGUUCCUCCGAAGCAAUGGUCUAAGAAAGAUGGACGUGAAGGGACCAUUGACAAAGGUAUAUAAGUUGGGUUAUCUAUAUGUGCUAAUUUAUUCUAAUAACCAGGUAGUCUUGGAGAUGUUGCCGGCGCGUUACCGAAGGCUUUGGCUCAGCGUUGUUUCAUAUGUGCUUUAGGUCUGCACAACUGCACAAGUUGUAGCUUAUGGUUGUUAAUAUUACAAUAAUAUAAAUAUCAUUGAUUGAGGUAAGGCCAAAAUGUCCUGUUUUUGUUUAUAGGUGAAAUAACAUUUGUUUUAUGUGUCCUAAUUAUUCAAUUGGUAUUGCUUUAAGUCUUUAACAUACUAAUAGUUAUUUCUUUUGUGUAUCAUGCUAAGUCUUGACAUGUAUACAUGUAUUCGUUGUUGUCAUCUCUAUGAUUUCCAAACUGCCGUCACCACCAAAAUCAACUUUCACUUUCUUAGCGAUUAAGGUAAUCAUCUAUUUAGGACACAUAAAACAAAUGUUAUUUAGGGAUUAAGGUAAUCAUCUAAUCAUCUUAACUGAAUUUCUACGUACUUAUAUGAUUGGCCGUUUUCUUAAUUAGGGAAUAAAUAUCAUGUCUCUUGACUUGGCUUCUUUUACAAUUGGUGAGGAGUUAACAUUUGGCUGUUGAGACCAGCGGCCAUGGAGCACUCAAUAAGAAUCAGUAGCUUGAUGAUGGUAACAAGAAGCAGCGAUUUAGGGUGGAAUAGAGUUAAAAAAUAUGGCUAUUGAGGGAAAAAAGCUGAGCGACAAUGAUGAGAAGAAGGUAAUGAUCUUUCCCCUCUUCGUAAUUUUUCUCUGAACUGUUUUGCUGGUAAAAAAGUUAGUUUUGCCUAUCGAUUACUCUUUUAUGAUGUUAAGCUCAAACCAAAAAAUAGGUAUUAUACUUCAAAUAUAGUCCUCUUCGUAAUUUUUCUCUCAACCGUUUUGCUUUGCUGGUAAAAAAGUUAGUUUUGCCUAUCGAUUACUCUUUUACGAUGUUAAGCCUUAAACCAAAAAAUAGGUGUUAUACUUCAAAUAUAGUCAAAAUAAAUUUCAAGAAAAUAGCCUUAUGAUUCUGUUUUAAUACAUGAUUUACUUAAUUAUAAAGACAUAAAUUUAAAGAAGGGAAUUGGAAAUUUUACUUCAUGAAAAUCAUAAAGGUGUACUACUCUUUUCGGAAUGACAAAAAGAAAAAGGACGGGAUCUAAAUAUAUGUUUUUCUUGAUUGUUCUUUACUGUUAUAUAUCGAUUUUCUUAUAGUUUGAAUUUGAUUCAAAUACAAUGGGUUGCCAAACCAUGAGUUGAACAGAAGGUUUCAAAAUAGAAUUUAGAGAAUUUAAGCAUAAAAAAAAUAUGGUAUAGUCAGAUGGUUAGAUGGUUAGACUGAGAAAUCAUGGUGGCUGGUGAGAAUGUGAUAACUUUUUAAAGUGCCUAAAGUGUUUGUGUGAAUGUUUAAAUGGAAUUAGUUUGCAACUUGAGAUUGAUGUAUUUUGUUUGUUUUUGUAGACAAGAUGGAUGUCGAAAGGAUAUCCACUAGGAGAUGGGUACUGACUUGGCCUUAAACCACAAUUGAAACUGUUGAUGAUAACCUCUUAAAACUUUUGGUCAAAAAGUAUGCUUUCUCAAUUUUAUGUAAAGUUAAAGAAAAAAUGGGGCGUGUCUGUAGGUCUUUCUAUUUGGAUGUUUCUUUAUCCAAGGGAAAACGUUUUGAUAACCUAAAAGCUUGGCCUGUUUUUGCUAACAUGCCUGACAAAAUCAUGGAAGUUUCUCCAAUAAUACAAAUGAUUGUUGUUGAACCGCUUGCUUUUGUUGCUCCUGAUAAAGAUGAAGAGGUAUGCUAAAGGAUCAUCACAGUUUUAUCCCUGGCUUUUUUUUUUUUUUUAUCUUUAUAACUUCAAUAGCAUUUAACAAUUAAGAGGUAUGCUAAAGCAUCCUCAUAGUUCUAUCACUGACUUUUUAUAUAUAAUCUUUAUGACUUCAAUAGCAUUUAACAAGUUAGUGUGUUUGGCAUAGUGUAUUCUUGGUGAUAUAUGGAAGGGAAAUGUCACCAGCAGUGAGUUAAAUGCUGGAAAAAUGGUAAUCUCUUCUUAGUGGAGGAAGUGGUUGACCCAAAUAAUACGUCUUGAAAAUUUCUAGAGCACUUGAUUGGUAGAGAAAGCGCAUUACUUCGUAGAGGUUUUUGGUUGAUAUGAAGAAUAACAGGGAUAAUGUAAAGUAACCCAAAAGAGCGUAAAAUGUCCACGAAGCAAAAGAUGCAAGCGAACCAUUUUUGAAAGUCCAUGGACGUCUAUUGAUCUUUACGGGUCAAUUAAUUUAGGAUUUUAAAUAGGAUAACGAAUUAAAUGGAAAAUAGAAAAAAAUUAAUAUUGAACUCUUUGAUCCAACAAUAGUUCUUAUGUGUUGUUUUUUUAUAUUAAUUUUAAAUUCAUUACGUGGAUUUUUUUUGGUUUAUAAACCUUUUGUAUUGGAUAAUAUUUGGUUAUAAACAACAACUUGGAUGUGUUAA